GAUGAACGCUAGCGGCAGGCCUAACACAUGCAAGUCGAGGGGCAGCACAGAAACAGCAAUGUUUUGGUGGCGACCGGCGGACGGGUGCGUAACGCGUAUGCAACCUACCUUUAACAGGGGGAUAACGGAGAGAAAUUUCCACUAAUACCCCAUAACAUCGAUCAAGGCAUCUUGAUUGGUUGAAAAUUCCGGUGGUUAAAGAUGGGCAUGCGUUGUAUUAGGUAGUUGGUGAGGUAAUGGCUCACCAAGCCUACGAUACAUAGGGGGACUGAGAGGUUAGCCCCCCACACUGGUACUGAGACACGGACCAGACUCCUACGGGAGGCAGCAGUGAGGAAUAUUGGUCAAUGGGGGCAACCCUGAACCAGCCAUGCCGCGUGCAGGAAGACGGCUCUAUGAGUUGUAAACUGCUUUUAAACAGGGAUAAAGCACAGUAUGUAUACUGUGUUGAAGGUACUGUAAGAAUAAGGAUCGGCUAACUCCGUGCCAGCCGCCGCGGUAA
RNAcentral lists this ribosomal RNA (502 nucleotides) under uncultured bacterium. Its description in RNAcentral is "partial 16S ribosomal RNA". It matches the Rfam family "Bacterial small subunit ribosomal RNA", at positions 28 to 523 of the family's 1533-position model. The record is from RNAcentral.